CCCUAGAAAAACCCUACUCUUCUGUUGAAAUAAAAAUCCUACACUGAAUUUCUACUUGUAAUUAUGUUAUUGGAGAGUUCAUUAGUGUGGCUUAUGGGCCUUAUAAUGUUAUCAUUAGCUCAUAGGCUAAGUAGAAUAAAGGGCUGAGAUUGAAUCAAAAUUGUAAGCCUCUCUCUCUUCUCUAACUGUCAUCUUGUCUUGUACUGUGAGCUCAUAUGCUCAGUAUGAAUGUAAUGGAAAUCUAGCAGAGUCAUAUUCUCUGCAUGUUCUUUCUCAUGCUUCCAUCUCACUCUUUUGCUCAUAUACAAUCCAAAACCAUUGCUGGUAAUUUAAUCUUGUUUUGGUGUAUGAGAAGUUGAAUUCUAGUAUGGCCGAGCCGGUUUCGAUUUGAAAUCCGGGCAUCAAGCUGAAUGUGAAAUUGUGAGCUGAUUUUGAAGCAAUUGUUUGGUUGCUUCGAGCUUUGAUUCGACGAGAUUCAAAUCUAGCAUGGCUGGAUCUGGAGGGAGUGAGCUACGAGCUACCAAUUUUUAAUGGAGAUAACUUUGAUUUCUGUAAGAUCAAGAUGAAAACUGUUAUACCCACCCCCACAUUUUUAUUUAUAUUUCUAUAUUCCUCCCUGAAACAUAUCUAAGUCUAUCAAUUUAGUCCCUUAUCUCAUUUAAUCCUAAUUGUCGAUCUAGAUACCUUAUUCCUCCUAAACUGCCAAGUGGCAGCUUCCUAGCUUUCUUCUCUUCAGGAGCUCUGCCUCUCCAUUUUCUGAAAUAUCUCUCUCUCACAAGAACUCUCAUCUCUCCCUUUCUCUCUCUGCACCGUGACCAACCAAACAAACCUGCAUGUGGCUCCUGUUGUAGACCAUCAUCGUCAUCAUCUCUCUCUCUCUCUCUCUCUCUCUCUCUCUUCGUCGCAGCGAGAUCGGGAAAUCCAGAGAAAAGACCUUCGACGGUUUUCUCCAUUUAUUUUUCCGGCUAGGUUUUGAGGAUGGGAACGGCGCGGGGGAGGCUCACCCACACUUUUCGGCGAACCCGUGACCUUCAAGGGUUCUUCCGAACACUCACGGCCGUUCACGGUGAAGCAAGGGUGAAGUUGCUAGUGGGGAUUUCCUUAAUCCUUUUCCGCACAACUCUGCUGCUACGGAGUAUCUGUCUUAGAAAUGAGGACUACGACACAACGUACGAGGCAUUCGCCUACCAGUAGCAGUCUAUCACUCAUUUGGGUGAUAUCUUGUAUCGACUAGCACGUGCCUAUCCGGGUAUUCAGAGAAUAUGGGGGUCGGGACGUGUAAAAAACCAUCUUCAAGUCUCAUGAAUUCUAGAAUUUGGUUGAAAAGGGUUUUGAAAUUGAAGGAAGGAAAUCUCUCGGCUGAGGAGAAGAAGCUGAUGCGAGAGAAUACUAUCAAAGAUGCAAGAGCAGUUGGUAUCAUUCAAGGAGCCGUUUCAGAUAAAGUUUUCCAGAAUUGCCAAUCAGAAAACUACCAAGUCAGUCAAGGACAUCUUGAAGCAAGAAUUCAUUGGAGACGUGAAUUUGAAUACACACGUACGGCAUAACUUAUGUGAUUGAAAACACCAAAGAUUUGGAGACCAAUGACGCACGGGAUGUUGUGGCUAUACUAAAAGGAUAUGAACAAGGGUUAGUAGGCAUAGUGAGAAUAACACAAAAAAGGCAUUUUCUAUCAUGGACAUCACAUGUAAGCAAACUGGCAGGUUUAGUGGUCAAGCUAGUAAUGCAAAGUUUCUGAAGAAUUCUAAAACCAAGGGGACGCAAUGGCCUAACAAGACCAAUGCUCCUGUGAAGCAAUGGCAAGGUAACAAUGUUGCUAAGAUGCCUUGUAAAAGUUGUGAUAAGCUAUACUAUGGAAAGUGCUGGAACAAGGGAAAAGCCCAAAUGUCACAAGUGCAGUAAAUUUGGCCAUAUUGCUAAGACUGCAAUCUCAACAAGUCUGUGCAACAAGUGAAUUUUUCUAAUCAGGCAGAAGAGAUAGGAAACCUGUUUUAUGCAAGUCAUGCUACUGUUGCAAAGAAUAAGAGUGAUGUAUGGUACAUAUAUUGUGGGUGCAACAAUUGUUUGACCUCUAAAGAGGAUUUGCUAGUGGAUAUAAACAGAAAUAUUAAAGCUAA
Malus domestica (apple) is the source of this 2114-nucleotide non-coding RNA. NCBI's taxonomy places the organism in Eukaryota, Viridiplantae, Streptophyta, Magnoliopsida, Rosales, Rosaceae. The record is from RefSeq and is a predicted model, not a curated record.